Molecule: ribosomal RNA, 330 nt
Filed under: uncultured Pseudomonadota bacterium
Lineage: Bacteria; Pseudomonadati; Pseudomonadota
Description: bacterial SSU rRNA
Rfam family: Bacterial small subunit ribosomal RNA
Source: RNAcentral
AACGAACGCUGGCGGCAUGCUUAACACAUGCAAGUCGAACGGGAACUUGGGGCUUGCUCCAGGGGAUAGUGGCGCACGGGUGAAUAACGCGUAGGUAAUGUUCCUAUUGGCUCGGGAUAACCUGCCGAAAGGCGGGCUAAUACCGUAUAAGUUCCCUUGGAGCUCGCUCCGGGGGAAGAAAGCAGGGCAACUUGCACCGAUAGAUCAGCCUGCGUCCCAUCAGCUAGUUGGUGAGGUAACGGCUCACCAAGGCUACGACGGGUAGCUGGUCUGAGAGGAUGAUCAGCCACACUGGGACUGAGACACGGCCCAGACACCUACGGGAGGCAG